Rhincodon typus (whale shark) is the source of this 5326-nucleotide long non-coding RNA. RefSeq lists it as uncharacterized. The transcript is spliced from 7 exons. NCBI's taxonomy places the organism in Eukaryota, Metazoa, Chordata, Chondrichthyes, Orectolobiformes, Rhincodontidae. The record is from RefSeq and is a predicted model, not a curated record.
GUCUGGAGCUGCCAUCAAUCAGCCGCGUCCCGUUGUGAUGUGAGGUGUGGGGCCUGGGAUGAGGUUCAUCAUUCACAUUCAAAGGGGUAUGAUCUUUGCCGCCCAGAUGUGAACUGCCUUCUUGAAAUGCUGCAGUCCAUGUGCUAAUACCAAAAUGUACACCUGAAGACCAGGUUCGAAUCCCACCUCGGCAGAUGAUGGAAUUUGAACCCAAUAAAAAAAACUUGAAAUUAAGAAUCUGAUUUCCAUGGAACCAGUGCCAAUGUCAGGAAAAAAAAAUCUAAUGUCCUUCAGGGAAAGGAAUCUGCCAACCUGACAAUGGCCCAGCAGCCUCUCAGUUGUAUUAAUCACUGAAGUCUCAACAAAGGCAUGAAACUGGAUGGGCCACCUAGCAUCUACCAAGGUACUAGAAAAUACAAACACAGAAUCAGCCCUAUCGACCCUGCAAAAUCUUCCUGACUAACAUCUGGGGGCUAGUGCCAAAACUUGAAUAAGUGUCUUACAGAUCAGUCAAGCAACUGCCUGAUGUAGUCAUACUUACAGAAUCAUACAGUCAAUGACCCAGACACCACCACCACCACCACCAUCCUUGGAUAUUUCCUGUCCCGCCAGCAGGACAGACUGGGCAGAGGUGGCUGCGCAGUGUUGUACAGACAGGAAAGAUUUGCCCUGGGAGUACUCAACGUUGACUCUGGAUGCCAGGAGGUCUCAUGGCUCCUGCUGAUUAUCAUGUACCGUCCUCCCUUGACUUUUGAAUCACUACUUCUCCAUGUUGAACAACAUUUGGAGGAAACACGGAGGGUGUAAAUGGUGCCAAACUUACUCUGGGUAUAGGAUUUCAAUGUCCACCAUCAAGAGUAACUCAGCACUACUGAUCAAGCUGGUCAGGUCCUCAAGGAUAUAGAUGAUGACUGGGUCUACAGGUUGUAGUGAGGGUAACAAGAGGAAAAGAUAUCCCUUGUGUUGAAUGACACUAUAACUGUGCUAAAUGGGACAGACUUCAAACAGAUGUAGAAUACAAAACUGGACAUUGAUGAGCCAUCAACAGCAGAACUGUACUCCAGCAUGAUCUGAAAUCUCAUGGCCUGGCAUAUCCCGCACUCAAGCAUUACCAUCAAGCCAGGGGAUCAAUCGUGGUUCAAUGCAGAGUGCAGGAUGGCAUGCCAGAAGCAGCACCAGGCAUACCUAAAAAUAAGGUGCCAAACUGGUGAAGCUACUAAAAAGGUCUAGCAACAUGCCAUCAGCAUAAACAGCAAGAGACAAAGCUAAGCGAUCUCACAAUCAAUGGAUUAGACAUAAUCCCUGUAGUUCUGCCACAUCCAGUCGUGAAAAGUAACAGACAAUUUAAAAAAAUUUAAUCAUUUGUGGGAUGUGGGCAUCGCUAGCUGGCCAGCAUUUAUUGCCUGUCCCUAGUUAAACUACUCCCUGGAAGAGGCACCAGAAAAAUUAUCACCCUUACUGAUGGAGGAGCCCAACACAUCCAUGCAAAAGAUAAGAUUACAGCACUUGCAGCAAUUUUAAGCCAGAAGUGCCCAGUGGAUGAUCCAUCUUGGCCUUUUCCAGUGGUCACCAGCUUCACAGUUGAAAGUUUUCAGCCAAUUUGAUUCAUUUCACGUAACAUCAAGAAAUGGACAAACAGUGCAAAGGCUAUGGACCCUGCCAACACUCUGACAACAGUAAUGAGGAUUUGUGCGCCAGAACUUACCGCCUACCAAGCCAAGCUGCUUCAGUAACACUACAGCUGUGGCAUCUACUGAAAAUGUGGAACAUUGCCCAGGUAUGUUCAGCACAAAAACAGACAGCAAAUACAACCUGGCCAAUUUCCCCUCCAUCAGUCUACUUUUGAUUAUCAGUAGAGCGUUGAAAGGUGUCAUCAACAGUGCAAUCAAGCAGCACCUGCGUGGCAAUGCCCCGUUUGAGUUCGGCAAAGACCACUCAACUCCUGACCUUGUUGCAUACUUGAUUCACAACUUGAUGAACAGCUGAAUUCCAGAAAUUAGGUGAGAGUGACAUCCCAGUCUCACACCAAGGACACCUGUUUCUACUUCAGUGACAUCACCCAACUCCACCCUAGUCUCGGCUCAUUUGCUGAAACUUUCAUCCAUUCCUGUGUUACCUCUAGACUUCACUAUCCAAACAGACUCCCAGCCAGCCUCCAGCCAUUCAGGCCUGUGACAUUCUCGAUGAUGAAAGUGGGAAAAUUGACGACAGACUCUGAAAACAGUGAGAGCUCCAGCUUCACAACAGCCCUUUGAAUCUCUGCUGACACUCUGCUUUAAGAGUAUUUGAAGAGGAUUCACAGACUGAAAACUCCAACCAACCAUCAUUUAAGAAUCUGACAGAAUCAGUGGAUUCAUCAGAUACUCAAUAUUUUUGGCCUUUGGAUUUCAGUAAAUAUUGCCAAUCCUCAGUUACCUUUUGGAGAAGAUGAUGUUUGACCUUCCUGAACUACUACAGUACAUGUGGUGAAGGUGCUCCCAAAAUACUGUUCGGAAUUUAGAAUGAGAAGAUUUGUAGUCACAAAUCUCCAAACCAAACAUCACAUCAGCAUCUGAUGGAAUCACGUGGCAUAUUGACGUGUGAAUACCAUUGGGUUUUGAACAUGGAAGGAAAGAGCAUUGUUCAUAGUGGAGAGAAACCGUACACAUAUUCUGUGUGGAAAAAGCUUCAGCCAAUCAUUAUUCCUCUCAAAACAAAAUACAGGCACCAAAUGGAGAAACUGUGGAAAUGUAAGGAAUGUGGGAAGGGAUUCACUUCUCCAUCAAAGCUGGAAACUCAUUGGUGCAGUCACACUGAGGAGAAGCCAUUCACCUGCUUCAAGUGUGGGAAGGGAUUUAUCCAGUUACCCCACCUACUGACACGCCAGUGAGUUUACACUGGGGACAGAUCUUUUAAAUGCUCCCAGUGUUGGAAAAGAUUCACUCAAUUAGGUCACCUACUGACACACCAGCAGAUUCACACUGACCCUGCAUCUGCAUUCAACAUGGAAAGAGUUUCAGGCAUUCAGAGCUUCAUUGCACACCAGCGGGUUCACAGUGGGGAGAGGCCAUUCACCUGCUCCGACUGUGGGAAGGGAUUCACUCAGUUAGGUACCUUGCUGACACACCAACAAGUCCACACUGGGGAGAGGCCGUUCAUCUGCUCCAUGUGUUGGAAGGGAUUCGUUACCUCAUCCCACCUGUGGAGACACCAGUGAGCUCACCUGAAACGGUAGGUAUUGGAUUCUGCUGUUGCCGUUGAUCAGGAAGGUCAGGUUCCACUCAGAAUUGCUCACUGUGAAGAUGAUGGUGCACAAAAGAUGCACAAUAUACUUAGAACUGUCAAAUAUGUCAAAUACUGCCAAGCAUGUCAAGACCUGUCAAGAAGUGUUUCUAUCAAUGAGAGCACUUUCCUCAAUAGCAAGCCAUCUGCAAUGUCAAACAUUAAUUUGCUUUCUCCUGUGUGCGUGGGUAUUUGUGGAUACUGGGUGAGCUGGCAGGAGCUGGAGAAAUAAUACUGAGUGGAUGUAAGCAUUAAAUUGGUGUAGUAGAUGAGGGUGAAUGGGGUAGGGGGAGGGUACUGGGUGACAUGGAUGGACCGUGGGCAGAGUGACGGGGUGAGUGAUGGAGGACGGUUUCUGUUUUAUUGCUUCGUUUAAUUUUUGGUCACAGUGCUGAGAUCCAAGGCUGGCUGUCUGCCCCAGGCCUCCUCGGGUAAUGGCACCAUCUCCUGGGUCAUUUUUCCGAUUUCUAAUUGAUCCCAUUGCCUCCAGACUGACAGUGGAGAACAUGGAUAGCCAGAAUUAAAGGGCAAAAUUGUAGCAUCGGAAAUCUUUCCUGUACACUUGGCUUGGCAGUAAGAAUCAAGGCAUUGGAUGUUACUUUCUACUGAUGUUAAUUGUACCUGUCACUGGGCUAGAGUUUAAUAUUCUGGAUCGGUAGCUGUUUAAAGUCAACUUAGAAAUCUGGUUCAUUCAACAGACUCUUGGAUGCUCGGGGAAUUGUUUGCAAUGAAGGCACCUUCAUAAGUAUGCAAGAAGAAAUACAAAUCUACAAGAAUAAAAACAUGCAUUCAAUUUGCAAGACCAUUAGUUCCAAAAUAUCUGUGCUUUUAAUGUGGUCUCCAAAAGUGCAAAACUGGAGUUAACAGUCUAGAAUUCCUUUAUGGGAGUGGUUAAUUAAGUAGUCAGUUUCUUCCCAUUAAAAUUCCCUCGAAUGUCAUGAGAAAUAUUCCUGAAAUGUACAUUCUAUUUCACUGUUUUGGUGAAAGGAUGUUGAUUGCUUGUAUGAUGCUGUUCUACAGAUUUCUUGCUGCUUUUUAUAGGCAAGAGGCUUCAUCUUCAUUGCUUGGAAUUAGAGGUUUAGAUUUCAACUGUAGAUGUUGUUUGAGGUUUCGCUGUCCACUUAACAGCUAGCUAUUUCAAAAUUGUCGAAGGGAGCUGAGGUCAACACUGUUGGAGUCAUGUGAAAAAAAUCUGCUUUUUGGUCGGAUGGUGGUGGGAAUGGAGCCAUUAAAAUCUCCUUACAGCAGCAGGCUAACUUGUUAUUUCCCACGGUGACAAUCUGUCUGUGGCAGUUUUUAACACGAUAGUUUAACAUUCCAGCCCCUUCAGGAGGUACAUGAGAUAUAGGUACAGUAUUCCAGCUAACUUUUAUUUCAGAAAACAUUUCUGGAAAGUCACCACUAGGUCCAGUCCUGUGAUUAUAGAAUAAAAACUGUGAAGGAGAAAAGCGUUAACGUUUCGGGUCCGGUGACCCUUCCUCAGAACACGUGAUUGCAGAAGAUGUGUGUAAUGAAAUAAUGUUCAACAGCGCAAUAGUCAUCAAAUAUAUAUGUAUUAAAAGUCUUUUAAAAUCUAUUUUUGAUAGUGUACAGCAAAGCAGAAAAGCAACUGCACUAACACUGAUUCCCAGAAGACUCCACUACAAAUAUUCUUCCACCUGUAAAAUGUCAAUGCAUGACUACUCUCCGUUUCCUGUAUUCAGUCACUUCAAUGUUUAUGUUGCUGCUGUCUCUUUUGUUUCAGGAGUUCUGACCUUUCUCCCAAGUCCAUUGUGUGGCACAGUCUCAAAUACAUUGUGAAAGUUGGUGUGUACCACAUUAACACACACUUCAACACAAUCUAUUAGCUCUUCAAAGCACUCCAGCAAUUUGUUGAGCAUGAUUUUGCCUUCAGAAAUUAAUGCUAACCUUCCUUAAUUAUACGGCAAUUGUCUAUGUGGGUGUUAAUAAUGUCCCAAAUUAUUGUUUUGAGAAGUUUCUCAACCCAAGUGAACCUGAUUGGUCUGUAGCUGCAAGGUUAAUCUGGACUAUUUUUUACAACCAGGGCAUAACAUUUUCAAUUUUU